This 253-nucleotide ribosomal RNA is filed under the name uncultured bacterium. RNAcentral describes it as "partial 16S ribosomal RNA". It matches the Rfam family "Bacterial small subunit ribosomal RNA", at positions 524 to 776 of the family's 1533-position model. The record is from RNAcentral.
UACAGAGGGUGCAAACGUUGUUCGGAAUUACUGGGCGUAAAGCGCGUGUAGGCAGCUCGGAAAGUCGGAUGUGAAAGCCCUGGGCUCAACCUAGGAAGUGCAUUCGAAACUUCCGAGCUGGAGUGCUGGAGAGGAAGGCGGAAUUCUCGGUGUAGAGGUGAAAUUCGUAGAUAUCGAGAGGAACACCGGUGGCGAAGGCGGCCUUCUGGACAGUUACUGACGCUGAGACGCGAAAGCGUGGGGAGCAAACAGG